Molecule: ribosomal RNA, 651 nt
Filed under: Clostridioides difficile
Lineage: Bacteria; Bacillati; Bacillota; Clostridia; Peptostreptococcales; Peptostreptococcaceae
Description: bacterial SSU rRNA
Rfam family: Bacterial small subunit ribosomal RNA
Source: RNAcentral
UACGGGAUAAUAUAUUUGAGAGGCAUCUCUUGAAUAUCAAAGGUGAGCCAGUACAGGAUGGACCCGCGUCUGAUUAGCUAGUUGGUAAGGUAACGGCUUACCAAGGCGACGAUCAGUAGCCGACCUGAGAGGGUGAUCGGCCACAUUGGAACUGAGACACGGUCCAAACUCCUACGGGAGGCAGCAGUGGGGAAUAUUGCACAAUGGGCGAAAGCCUGAUGCAGCAACGCCGCGUGAGUGAUGAAGGCCUUCGGGUCGUAAAACUCUGUCCUCAAGGAAGAUAAUGACGGUACUUGAGGAGGAAGCCCCGGCUAACUACGUGCCAGCAGCCGCGGUAAUACGUAGGGGGCUAGCGUUAUCCGGAUUUACUGGGCGUAAAGGGUGCGUAGGCGGUCUUUCAAGUCAGGAGUGAAAGGCUACGGCUCAACCGUAGUAAGCUCUUGAAACUGGGAGACUUGAGUGCAGGAGAGGAGAGUGGAAUUCCUAGUGUAGCGGUGAAAUGCGUAGAUAUUAGGAGGAACACCAGUUGCGAAGGCGGCUCUCUGGACUGUAACUGACGCUGAGGCACGAAAGCGUGGGGAGCAAACAGGAUUAGAUACCCUGGUAGUCCACGCUGUAAACGAUGAGUACUAGGUGUCGGGGGUUACCCCC